RNA transcript from Cercocebus atys (sooty mangabey), 2411 nucleotides. It is a transcript of the gene named protein arginine N-methyltransferase 1 pseudogene, with no coding region annotated. The record is from RefSeq and is a predicted model, not a curated record. The transcript has a single exon. NCBI's taxonomy places the organism in Eukaryota, Metazoa, Chordata, Mammalia, Primates, Cercopithecidae.
GAAUAAAAAAAAGUGGCAUUCAGACCACAAUACCGCAUUUAAGAACCCAGUUAAAAUAACUUUUGCUCAGCUCUUAACCAGCUUAGGGCUUAUUAGUUUAAUUGGUUAUCCAGAAAAUCUAUGCUGAAGAAGUAUUCCCGCUCCAACAUUCCUGAACACUGCUCCCCUGAAAGCUUGUUAGAUUCACAGCUAAUAAACAUGAGACCCUAUUAGCAAAAUUAAGUUAAAGCAAUGAAGUCACAAGGAAACCUGUAAAAGUCAUGUAUGUGUAGAUCCAUACACACAUAUAUAUAUAUAUUUUUCUUUCUCUUCACUAAAAGACAUACUAAAUAAAAACAUUAUCAGUGACACACAAUGACCAGAGUAUAAACAGCAUAAGCUUUAUUUAACUCUAGUCAGGUUCAGAUUGGAAUUCUAGCUCUAGUACUACAUGGCUUUGAGAAAUUCACUUUCCUUGCUGAGCUACAAUUUCUUCAGCGGUAAGGAGUUUUCUCUAAUAACCACAUUUGUUUGAGGACUCACCUAGCUAAUAAAUCACCUAGUAGCAGCUGACACAUAAGUAGUAACUCUAUAUGGUUAGUUCCUUCCCUCCUUUUAAAAUUACUAACUUUUGGGCUGAGCGCAGUGCCUCAGGCCUGUAAUCCCAACACUUUGGCAGGUUGCGGCGGGUGGAUCACCUGAGGUCAGGAGUUACAGAAUACCCCAGCCAACAGGGUGAAACCCCCUAUCUACUAAAAAAUUAGCCAGGUGUGGUGGCACAUGCCUGUAUUCCCAGCUACUUGGGAGGUGGAGACACGAGAAUUGCUUGAACCUGGGAGGUGGAAGUUGCAGUGAGCCGAGACCGAAACACUGCACUCCAAGCAGGGUGACAGAGCAAGACUCUUGUCUCAAAUAAAUAAAUACAUAAAAUAUAAAUACUUUCAAAACACAGUAGUUUCAACCGAUAGGCAGGCAUUUUAUUUUGUUGCCAAAAAGAAAUGAGCCACACUGUUGCCAGAAAUGAGCAUGCUUCAAACAUGCUAAACUCAAACAUGUAAUUUCAAGUUUUACCCUGAAGAGGGGAGUAAAGCCUUAGCAAAGAAUAUAUUUGAGUUAAUCUUGUUCUCACUGUGCUUCUUUCACCUCUUAAAAUCCUACUAUAGAAAAAGGCGGGGGUCUUGGCAACUGGAGGAGUUAGGAGGUGUGGGUGAAGAUGACGGCCGCCGAGGUCGCGAACUGCAUCAUGGAGGUGUCCUGUGGCCAGGCGGAAAGCAGCGAGAAGACGGACGUCGAGAGCAUAACGUCCAAAGAUUACUACUGUGACUCCUACGCCCACUUCAGCAACUCCAUGUUUCACAACCAUCACCUCUUCAAGGACAAGGUAGUGCUGGAUGGGGGCACGGACACAAGCAUCCUCUGCAUGUUCGCCGCCAAGGCCGGGCCCGCAACGUCAUCGGGAUCGAGUGGUUCCACUAGCUCUGAAUAUGCAGUGAAGACUGUCAAAGCCAACAAGUUAGACCACUUGGUGACCAUCAUCAAGGGGAAGGUGGCGGAGGUAGAGCUCCCGGUGGAAAAGGUGGACAUCAUCAUCAGCAAGUGGAUGGGCUAACUGCCUCUUCUAGGAGUCCAUGCUCAACACCGUGCUCCACGCCCCGACAAGUGACUGGCGCCCAAUAAGCCUCAUCUUCCCAGACCGGGCCACACUGUAUGUGACGGUCAUCGAGGACCAGCAGUACAAAGCCUAUAAGAUCCACAGGUGGGAGAACGCUUACGGCUUCGAUGUCUUGCAUCAAAGAUGUGGCCAUCAAGGAGCCCCUAGUGGACCUCAAACAGCUGGUCAACAACACCUGCCUCAUAAAGGAGGUAGACAUCUACACCGUCAAGGUGGAAGACCUGACCUUCACCUCCCCGUUCUGCCUGCAAGUGAAACAGAAUGACUACGUGUACGCCCAGGUGGCCUACUUCAACAUCGAGUUUAUGCACUGCCACAAGAGGACCGGCUUUUUCAUCAGCCCCGAGUCCCUGUACAAGCACUGGAAGCAGAUGGCGUUUUACAUGGAGGACUACCUGACCUUGAAGACAGGCGAGGAGAUCUUCAGCACCAUCGGCAUGUGGCCCAACGCCAAGAACAAUUGGGACCUGGACUUCACCGUCAACCUAAAUUUCAAGGGCCAUCUGUGCAACCUGUCCUGCUCCACAGACUAUAGGAUGCGCUGAGGCCCGACUCUCCUACCCUGCACAGGCCCAGGGGCUGAGCACUCCUAGAUGAUUGUGGGGCUCCCCCUUCCUCUCUCUCCCUCCCUCCGGCAGAGGAAGCUUUAGGGGCCUGGGCUGGGGGGAUGGGGAGGGCACAUCGUGACUGUUUUUCAUGACUUAUGUUUUUAUAUGGUUGCAUUUAUGCCAAUAAAUCUUCAGCUGGGAAAGAACAAAAA